Long non-coding RNA from Brienomyrus brachyistius, 2467 nucleotides. RefSeq lists it as uncharacterized. The transcript is spliced from 2 exons. The record is from RefSeq and is a predicted model, not a curated record. NCBI's taxonomy places the organism in Eukaryota, Metazoa, Chordata, Actinopteri, Osteoglossiformes, Mormyridae.
UGCGCAAAGAGGUCAGUGACAUUUUUGGUAAGUGUGAGGUGGUGUUUAGUUAACACCUCAAACACUCUGUGGAGGUGCCCUUCAUGGUUGAUAGCUACAGGUCCAUGGACAACAAUAUUAUCCAGAUAGAUGUCCACCCCAGGUAUACCAGUGAAGAAUAACCUUCUGAAACAGCUGGCAGCAGAUCUAAGCCCAAACAGGACCUUUGUGUACUGAAACACCCCAGCGUGCAUUACAAGAGUGUCAAGUUGGAGAGGAAUCUGCAGAUAGCCCUAAUGAAGGUCCAGUUUUGUAAGUAUAAUCAAGCCAUGAAAGUAGGAGGUAAGUUUAACCAAUGAAGUAUGUGUCGGGAAUGACAGCCUUGUUUACAGCCUGGAGGUCAAUGCUGAAACGCAGGCUUUCACAUUUCUUUGUAGCUAUGGCAAUUUUUGAGAUCGAUGGAGAAGUAUUAACUGGCUCAAUAUUACUUCCCCCCAGCAGGUGGCGCAGCUCAGCAGUAACACGGUCAGGAAGGGCCACUGAUACCUGAUGCAAGGCUGAAUUAGUGGGGUGACAGAUGAAUUAAGUAGGGGCUGAUGAUUAAAUGCAGGGAGACAGCCUAGCCCCUCCAAUAGGGCUGCGUACUGCUGCCACAGUGAGCUGAUGGUUAAAAUGGCAGAGGGAGAAUCCAAGUGGUAAAAAGAUCGAGGUCCAAUAAGUUAGCACUGGUGUGAGAAGUGAAAGGGAAAGUCUGGGACUAGUUUAGGUACAUCAUGGACUGACAGCUGGAUGGAACCUACCAUCCGUCAAUUAUAAAUACAAUUUUGGAACUGCCAUCGCCACAUAAAGCAGCCGUGUCCUUAGGCAUGUCACACGGGAGAAAAACUGCUAUACAGUAGCUAGAUUCAACUGCCACCUGAUUAUUCAAAAGGAGGGGAAGGCAUAUAUUGUCCCCCUCAACAGUGGAGGUUUUAAAAGAUUGAGGUUGUAACAGGCUAGCGGGGUUUUACUUGUGAAUUCCGCUGCAGUUUCCGUUUGAAAUACGGUGAUCGGCAAUGAUUUCUUCUGGCAUGCUGAAUCGCGCCAAUUACCUCAUACGGCUGCUGUAGCCUAAGGCGAAAAAGAAUCCCACGCAGGUUGGACGCGCGAAAUGUGAACCUAGAAGCGAAAGAGCGUUUUCUUAAUGAGUCCGAGCGGUCUGGAAGAUCAACUGUCCUCCGUUUAAGCAGUGAUAUACUGAUUUCGUCCCUGACAUCGGAAUCCAGGUAUAUUUGAGACGAUUCCAGCCGGCAAGUCCAAGGAACAGGGAGGUGGCGGAAGUGCAAGACGAGGUGGAGGUGGCGGAAGUGCAAGACGAGAUGGGGGUGGUGGAAGUGCAAGACGAGAUGGAGGUGGCGGAAGUGCAAGUAAAGGUGGAGGUGGAGGAAGUGCAAGUAAAGGUGGAGGUGGCGGAAGUGCAAGACGAGAUGGCGGUGGUGGAAGUGCAAGCUCCAUCAUCUUCAUCAAAAUAUUGUGUAAACACAUGAGACACGUUGCAAACCGAAGCCUCGUUUUAUUUUCAGAAAGUCCCUGUCUCACCGCGCACGAAUUCUUUAAAGUGUUUUCCAUGAAAAGUGCUUACCAGUGGAGGUGUAAAUAUCAUAACGAGUCAUUUUUUAAUGUGGCGAUUUGGGGUGGAAUAAUGAUUCCUCUACUUCCGGUUUGCUUGGUCUUGCGUUCACAUGCUGCUCAGGUAGAAGCGCAAACUAGCCGCGCUGGCUAGUGAUUUUCCAAAACGUAGGAUGGCUGAUAUUCACGAAGGAGACGCUGCUUGAUCUUUGAGCUAAGACGCUAUUGGGAAACGCCUCUGUAUUGUAGCACAAAAAAGUCGUCAUUUUUGCAAGACCCUGAGGUAGGUAGGUAGCAGAGUAAACGUAAUGCUAGUCUUAAAAAUGUGUGACAUAUUGGUUAUCAUAUCGGUAUUGGUCGAUAUCCGUUAAAAAAACACAAUGUCGGCAUCGGCCUGAUGUGUCAAAACUCUGAUGUUGCCGGCUGACAUCAAAGUUAGCAGCACUAGAACUAAAUAGGCGAGUGCUGUAAAAUAAUGGAAAAGACUGCAUUGGAUAGACUCCGGAACCCUGGAUAGUACAAGCUGUUUCAGAAAACGGAUGGAUGGAUGGAUGGAUGGAUGGGUUGCGUUGGACGAUCAGCCAUUUUCCGUAGUGGAGGACGAGGAAUUUAGUGGGCUCAUUCACCACUAGAGGAGGUCUUAAAGUUUCUGCCUGCGACAUGGCCCGUAGAUUAUUUUUUCGUUUUUCACAGCAUUUAAUAACGAUGUAACGUUAUUCUGCUAAUCUGCUUCGGCAGCCCUCUCCCCCCAAAUCAACUAACGAUUCCUUUAAUGUUUUAAUGUUUUUUUUCUGUACAGUUCAUUAGUUAUCUUUUUGACAGUUUUACACUGGCGUGUUCUCCUUGUUUAAUAAUGACAAUAAAAUAAAUGUUCUGGGAA